UAGCUCGCCUCUCCACGAUGC
This 21-nucleotide microRNA is filed under the name Sarcophilus harrisii (Tasmanian devil). RNAcentral's name for it is "Sha-Mir-7376_3p (mature (guide))". The record is from RNAcentral. Lineage: Eukaryota; Metazoa; Chordata; Mammalia; Dasyuromorphia; Dasyuridae.